Pomacea canaliculata is the source of this 1155-nucleotide long non-coding RNA. RefSeq lists it as uncharacterized. Lineage: Eukaryota; Metazoa; Mollusca; Gastropoda; Architaenioglossa; Ampullariidae. The record is from RefSeq and is a predicted model, not a curated record. The transcript is spliced from 3 exons.
GAUCUAGAUAUAGGCCAGGAUCCAGUUGCUUGCCCGAAGGCCCACUUCCUAAUUUUUUUUAAAGAAAUUCUUGACUCUGGAAUAUCUGGCGCUGCUGGAAUUCGCUCAAAACAACAAAUUUGUUCCCACGACCUUGUGUGAGUGUAAACUUCUGCCCACGUGACCAUCAAGUAUAAAACCUCAGUGAUGUCUCAAACUUUGUCGAUUCCUGCACUUGCCUGAGGAUUUUGGCUGAACACUACUUUCUGCAAGAAUGGUGCUGUUUGGGAAAAGACAUGUCGUCCUGGCCCUUGGCUUUGCCUUUGCCUUGCUUGUGGAUUGUGGCAAUGGGUUUAGCUGUGACGACUAUGCCAAUGGAUGCUCUACGCCCCGUUACACUCCAUAUAGGGGUGUGUUCACUCCUGCCUGCAACAGGCACGAUGUGUGCUACCUCUGCGGAGCGCUGCACGGCAUCAGCAGAUCCCGCUGUGACUCCGCCUUUUAUUCCAACAUGCAUGCUGCUUGCUCCAGUCGACUGUGUGUCCAGGCUGCGGGUGGAUUCUUUAAUGCAGUGCAAGCUCUAGGCGGGCGAUACUACCACAACACGUCGCCACCUGAAUGUAGAGACUGGCGUGUGUGGAGUUGGUGUCUUCCCCACUAGACUUUUCUGUGUGCGAGAAGAGACAGUAAGCUUUGGAUGGCAAGAGUGCACCUGUACUACAACACCUGUAUAAAGACAAAGGAACCACUUCCGUAGCCUGCGCGAAAUGUGCCACGCGCUCGUGUUUGAGAUUUUCAUGGGCAGGACAUUUCCGUUAACGUGUUUGCUACUGCGAGCACCUGGACAGGCUCAUGAGAUGUUGACAAUGAUUAAGAUGCCAGGGUAGGGCUGUUUGAACGAUCAUUGGUUGCCAUACCCAAAAAUCCUAAUGUUGGAAAGAAAAAAAGAAUAAACGAAAAACGGAGAACGACACUCGUUAAAGCAAUCUGUUUGGAUGUAUAUCCACCAGGAAAGCCACUUCUUGUAGUGGAGGCCCACCCACAGAGAACAUGUCUAUCGUUUCAUGAUCUUUUCCUUUUAUUUUACAAAUCACGUGAUAAUUUGCUCUCCAUUCAUAAGUCAUCUACUAAAUUUUUUAUUAUGAAUAAAGAAUAAAUUGCCUUUUUUUGACCAAG